GGGGAAUAUUGCACAAUGGGGGAAACCCUGAUGCAGCGACGCCGCGUGAGUGAAGAAGUAUUUCGGUAUGUAAAGCUCUAUCAGCAGGGAAGAUAAUGACAGUACCUGACUAAGAAGCCCCGGCUAACUACGUGCCAGCAGCCGCGGUAAUACGUAGGGGGCAAGCGUUAUCCGGAUUUACUGGGUGUAAAGGGAGCGUAGACGGAAUGGCAAGUCUGAAGUGAAAUACCCGGGCUCAACCUGGGAACUGCUUUGGAAACUGUUGUUCUAGAGUGUUGGAGAGGUAAGUGGAAUUCCUGGUGUAGCGGUGAAAUGCGUAGAUAUCAGGAAGAACACCGGAGGCGAAGGCGGCUUACUGGACAAUAACUGACGUUGAGGCUCGAAAGCGUGGGGAUCAAACAGGAUUAGAUACCCUGGUAGUCCACGCUGUAAACGAUGAAUACUAGGUGUCGGGGUGCAAAGCAUCUCGGUGCCGUCGCUAACGCAAUAAGUAUUCCACCUGGGGAGUACGUUCGCAAGAAUG
Molecule: ribosomal RNA, 523 nt
Filed under: uncultured bacterium
Lineage: Bacteria
Description: bacterial SSU rRNA
Rfam family: Bacterial small subunit ribosomal RNA
Source: RNAcentral